Molecule: ribosomal RNA, 1052 nt
Filed under: uncultured bacterium
Lineage: Bacteria
Description: bacterial SSU rRNA
Rfam family: Bacterial small subunit ribosomal RNA
Source: RNAcentral
UUCCUACGGGAGGCAGCAGUGGGGAAUUUUGGACAAUGGGGGCAACCCUGAUCCAGCCAUGCCGCGUGCGGGAAGAAGGCCUUCGGGUUGUAAACCGCUUUUGUCAGGGAAGAAAUCCCUUGAGCUAAUACCUCGAGGGGAUGACGGUAUGAAGAAUAAGCACCGGCUAACUACGUGCCAGCAGCCGCGGUAAUACGUAGGGUGCAAGCGUUAAUCGGAAUUACUGGGCGUAAAGCGUGCGCAGGCGGUUGUGCAAGACAGAUGUGAAAUCCCCGGGCUCAACCUGGGAACUGCAUUUGUGACUGCACGGCUGGAGUGCGGCAGAGGGGGAUGGAAUUCCGCGUGUAGCAGUGAAAUGCGUAGAUAUGCGGAGGAACACCGAUGGCGAAGGCAAUCCCCUGGGCCUGCACUGACGCUCAUGCACGAAAGCGUGGGGAGCAAACAGGAUUAGAUACCCUGGUAGUCCACGCCCUAAACGAUGUCAACUGGUUGUUGGGAAGGUUCCUUCUCAGUAACGUAGCUAACGCGUGAAGUUGACCGCCUGGGGAGUACGGCCGCAAGGUUGAAACUCAAAGGAAUUGACGGGGACUCGCACAAGCGGUGGAUGAUGUGGUUUAAUUCGAUGCAACGCGAAACCUUACCUACCCUUGACAUGCCUGGAAUCCUGCAGAGAUGUGGGAGUGCCCGAAAGGGAGCCAGGACACAGGUGCUGCAUGGCCGUCGUCAGCUCGUGUCGUGAGAUGUUGGGUUAAGUCCCGCAACGAGCGCAACCCUUGUCAUUAGUUGCUACGAAAGGGCACUCUAAUGAGACUGCCGGUGACAAACCGGAGGAAGGUGGGGAUGACGUCAGGUCCUCAUGGCCCUUAUGGGUAGGGCUACACACGUCAUACAAUGGCCGGUACAAAGGGCUGCCAACCCGCGAGGGGGAGCUAAUCCCAGAAAACCGGUCGUAGUCCGGAUCGCAGUCUGCAACUCGACUGCGUGAAGUCGGAAUCGCUAGUAAUCGCGGAUCAGCUUGCCGCGGUGAAUACGUUCCCGGGCCUUGUACACAC